Molecule: long non-coding RNA, 1123 nt
Organism: Protopterus annectens (West African lungfish)
Lineage: Eukaryota; Metazoa; Chordata; Ceratodontiformes; Protopteridae
Exons: 3
Source: RefSeq, a predicted model, not a curated record
ACUCAAGGUGUGUCCAUAUGGGACUGUUGUGGCUUUGGGAUGUUUUUUUUUUUUUUUGCGUUACUUAAAAAAGGAACACAGAAUGUGAGUUAUAUAAAGACAAGGGGCUAAGCAGUGCUCCCAACGCAGGACAAGCAUUUGUUAAGAGACACACAUAGCAUCCACAACGACACUCAUUUUCCUCAGCUCAACAAGUUAUGCAGCAGACACACAAUCUGUACCUCUCUUUAAUUAUGUAACCACACGCAUAUGCACGUAUUACAUAUGAGCACUGAGAUGCGAAAGUUGUCUGAACCAGCAGAAAUGGAAAUAUUGUUGAAGUGGGGGCGAUCCAAGAUCUGACAGUUGUGUCAAGUAAAAGGAAAGUUGCGACUUGGUUGUGUUGAAGCUUAUCACAGAACCAGAAACAACAAAACUUCAACAGCUGUUUACUUGAUGCACAAUUUAGCACAAACACUGGAACUGGAGAAAAAAAGAAUGUCACUUUGGCUGUGCUUAUCUCAUUUGUGUGAAAUACAAAAGUGGGCAAGCUGGAAAACUGGACUACACAGAAAGUAAACAUCCAAAAACAGAAACCGAAUACAUUCAAUUAAUGUUAUUGGAAUUGUGCAAACCCAGAUAUUGUGGUAGGUCUGGUCCACAGGAUCCAUCUGCCUGCAUUCCACCGACUAUGACACCAUUACCCAGUACAUUUGGGAACCAACCUGGCAACACCACCUCUGCUACCUCUGCCCUGCCUGCCCCCUCAAAUAGUCCUGCCCUGGAAGAUAGCCCAGUAUUUUCCUCUGGGAGCAGUGGCAGAGGUGGUAGGUUUGUCACCCACACUGAGUUGCCAGGGAUGGUGCCUAGGGUUGUGUGCUGCACUGUUGAUAUGCACCUAUGCCAGCUGGAUAGCCUUUUCUCCAUCAUUUUAUGAAGUACCAGGAGGAGGAGAAGGAGAUGUCAAUCUUUCCAGGCUGUGGCAGAGUGAGGUGACAGUGAUGACAGUCCUGUGGAUAACAACUCAAUUCUCACUGUCACCCAGCUGGACAACUAUGGGUAAUGGAUUUCCCCACCCUCACCCCAUCCAUGGUGUCCACUGACCUCUUGUGUCCAUCACCAUCACUGUCUCUUGUCUUGUUUG